RNAcentral lists this ribosomal RNA (468 nucleotides) under uncultured bacterium. RNAcentral's name for it is "partial 16S ribosomal RNA". It matches the Rfam family "Bacterial small subunit ribosomal RNA", at positions 28 to 507 of the family's 1533-position model. The record is from RNAcentral.
GACGAACGCUGGCGGCGUGCUUAACACAUGCAAGUCGAACGGAAAGGCCCUGCUUUUGUGGGGUGCUCGAGUGGCGAACGGGUGAGUAACACGUGAGUAACCUGCCCUUGACUUUGGGAUAACUUCAGGAAACUGGGGCUAAUACCGGAUAGGAGCUCCUGCUGCAUGGUGGGGGUUGGAAAGUUUCGGCGGUUGGGGCUGGACUCGCGGCUUAUCAGCUUGUUGGUGGGGUAGUGGCUUACCAAGGGUUUGACGGGUAGCCGGCCUGAGAGGGUGACCACCCUCCAUGCUACUACGAUAGGGACCAGAAUGCUAUGGGAGGCAGUAGGGGGAAAUUUUACGCAGUGAGGGGAAGCGUGAUGCAGAGACGCCGCGUGCGGAAUGACCGCCUUCGGGUUGUAAACCGAUUUCGCCUGUGACGAAGCGUGAGUGACGGUAAUGGGUAAAGAAGCACCGGCUAACUACGUG